GAUGAACGCUAGCUACAGGCUUAACACAUGCAAGUCGAGGGGAAACGACAUCGAAAGCUUGCUUUUGAUGGGCGUCGACCGGCGCACGGGUGAGUAACGCGUAUCCAACCUGCCCAUCACUUGGGAAUAACCUUGCGAAAGUAAGACUAAUACCCAAUGAUAUCCCACGAAGGCAUCGGAAUGGGAUUAAAGAUUUAUCGGUGAUGGAUGGGGAUGCGUCUGAUUAGCUUGUUGGCGGGGUAACGGCCCUCCAAGGCAACGAUCAGUAGGGGUUCUGAGAGGAAGGUCCCCCACAUUGGAACUGAGACACGGUCCAAACUCCUACGGGAGGCAGCAGUGAGGAAUAUUGGUCAAUGGGCGAGAGCCUGAACCAGCCAAGUAGCGUGCAGGAAGACGGCCCUAUGGGUUGUAAACUGCUUUUAUAAGGGAAUAAAGUGGGUCACGUGUGACUUUUUGCAUGUACCUUAUGAAUAAGGACCGGCUAAUUCCGUG
Molecule: ribosomal RNA, 492 nt
Filed under: uncultured bacterium
Lineage: Bacteria
Description: partial 16S ribosomal RNA
Rfam family: Bacterial small subunit ribosomal RNA
Source: RNAcentral